UCUCCUGGAAAAGGGUGGUAAUGCCGGAUGCUCCAUCACACUGCAUGGUGUGUUGGGAAAGCCUUUGCGGCAUGGGAUGGGGUCGCGUCCUAUCAGCUUGAUGGCGGGGUAACGGCCCACCAUGGCUUCGACGGGUAGCCGGCCUGAGAGGGCGACCGGCCACAUUGGGACUGAGAUACGGCCCAGACUCCUACGGGAGGCAGCAGUGGGGAAUAUUGCACAAUGGGCGCAAGCCUGAUGCAGCGACGCCGCGUGAGGGAUGGAGGCCUUCGGGUUGUAAACCUCUUUUGUUAGGGAGCAAGGCAUUUUGUGUUGAGUGUACCUUUCGAAUAAGCACCGGCUAACUACGUGCCAGCAGCCGCGGUAAUACGUAGGGUGCAAGCGUUAUCCGGAAUUAUUGGGCGUAAAGGGCUCGUAGGCGGUUCGUCGCGUCCGGUGUGAAAGUCCAUCGCUUAACGGUGGAUCCGCGCCGGGUACGGGCGGGCUUGAGUGCGGUAGGGGAGACUGGAAUUCCCGGUGUAACGGUGGAAUGUGUAGAUAUCGGGAAAAGAACACCAAC
Molecule: ribosomal RNA, 559 nt
Filed under: Bifidobacterium breve
Lineage: Bacteria; Bacillati; Actinomycetota; Actinomycetes; Bifidobacteriales; Bifidobacteriaceae
Description: bacterial SSU rRNA
Rfam family: Bacterial small subunit ribosomal RNA
Source: RNAcentral